GAGUUUGAUCCUGGCUCAGGACGAACGCUGGCGGCGUGCUUAACACAUGCAAGUCGAGCGGUAAGGCCUUUCGGGGUACACGAGCGGCGAACGGGUGAGUAACACGUGGGUGAUCUGCCCUGCACUUCGGGAUAAGCCUGGGAAACUGGGUCUAAUACCGGAUAUGACCUCCUAUCGCAUGGUGGGUGGUGGAAAGAUUUAUCGGUGCAGGAUGGGCCCGCGGCCUAUCACCUUGUUGGUGGGGUAAUGGCCUACCAAGGCAACAACGGGUAGCCGACCUGAAAGGGUGACCGGCCACACUGGGACUGAAACACGGCCCAAACUCCUACGGGAGGCAGCAGUGGGGAAUAUUGCACAAUGGGCGAAAGCCUGAUGCACCGACCCCGCGUGAGGAACAACGGCUUUCGGGUUGUAAACCUCUUUCACCAGGGACAAACCGCAUGUGACGGUCCCUGCAAAAAAAGCACCGGCUAACUACGUGCCAGCACCCGCGGUAAUACUUAGGGUGCAAGCGUUGUCCGGAAUUACUGGGCGUAAAGAGUUCGUAGGCGGUUUGUCACGUCGUUUGUGAAAACUCACAGCUCAACUGUGAGCCUGCAGGCGAUACGGGCAGACUUGAGUACUGCAGGGGAGACUGGAAUUCCUGGUGUAGCGGUGAAAUGCGCAGAUAUCAGGAGGAACACCGGUGGCGAAGGCGGGUCUUUGGGCAGUAACUGACGCUGAGGAACGAAAGCGUGGGUAGCGAACAGGAUUAGAUACCCUGGUAGUC
Molecule: ribosomal RNA, 769 nt
Filed under: uncultured bacterium
Lineage: Bacteria
Description: bacterial SSU rRNA
Rfam family: Bacterial small subunit ribosomal RNA
Source: RNAcentral